UUGAUGCCUCCCUUACCGAACGUGAUCUUCUCUUUCGCAUCGCGCGUGAGCUUACCACCAUCCGGCAAGGCGUUAGCAAAGCGCUAUUCGCAAUGGGCGAGGCUGAAAAGGAAGUCCCUGAAAGCAUGCGGCGGUUCAUGAACUACUUCCAUGAUAUCGUCCAUGUGAAGGGCGAAUACGUGUCCUUGGGACUCAAACCACCCCCGGAGACCGAUAGCGCACAGUA
This 226-nucleotide ribosomal RNA is filed under the name uncultured eukaryote. Its description in RNAcentral is "partial large subunit ribosomal RNA". The record is from RNAcentral.